GAUGAACGCUGGCGGCGUGCCUACUACAUGCAAGUCGAGCGAACAGACGAGGAGCUUGCUCCUCUGACGUUAGCGGCGGACGGGUGAGUAACACGUGGAUAACCUACCUAUAAGACUGGGAUAACUUCGGGAAACCGGAGCUAAUACCGGAUAAUAUAUUGAACCGCGUGGUUCAAUAGUGAAAGACGGUUUUGCUGUCACUUAUAGAUGGAUCCGCGCCGCAUUAGCUAGUUGGUAAGGUAACGGCUUACCAAGGCAACGAUGCGUAGCCGACCUGAGAGGGUGAUCGGCCACACUGGAACUGAGACACGGUCCAGACUCCUACGGGAGGCAGCAGUAGGGAAUCUUCCGCAAUGGGCGAAAGCCUGACGGAGCAACGCCGCGUGAGUGAUGAAGGUCUUCGGAUCGUAAAACUCUGUUAUUAGGGAAGAACAAAUGUGUAAGUAACUAUGCACGUCUUGACGGUACCUAAUCAGAAAGCCACGGCUAACUACGUG
This 497-nucleotide ribosomal RNA is filed under the name uncultured bacterium. Its description in RNAcentral is "partial 16S ribosomal RNA". It matches the Rfam family "Bacterial small subunit ribosomal RNA", at positions 28 to 507 of the family's 1533-position model. The record is from RNAcentral.